GUGUCAGCAGCCGCGGUAAGACGUAGGGGGCCAGCGUUGUUCGGAAUUACUGGGUGUAAAGGGUUCGUAGGCGGUGCGGCAAGUUGGGAGUGAAAUCUCUGGGCUUAACCCAGAGGCUGCUUCCGAAACUGCUGUGCUUGAGUGUGGGAGAGGCGCGUGGAAUUGCAGGUGUAGCGGUGAAAUGCGUAGAUAUCUGCAGGAACACCCGUGGCGAAAGCGGCGCGCUGGACCACUACUGACGCUGAGGAACGAAAGCUAGGGGAGCAAACAGGAUUAGAAACCCCCGUAGUCC
Molecule: ribosomal RNA, 292 nt
Filed under: uncultured bacterium
Lineage: Bacteria
Description: partial 16S ribosomal RNA
Rfam family: Bacterial small subunit ribosomal RNA
Source: RNAcentral